UCGGACAUGGUGUAGGGUACACCGCCUCUUUCCUUGGAAUACAAGGUCGCAAAGUCAGAGGUAGUUCGGGGUUCAACUCCCUGUGUUCGAA
This is a non-coding RNA of Mycena olivaceomarginata, 91 nucleotides long. The record is from the annotation of a GenBank genome assembly. NCBI's taxonomy places the organism in Eukaryota, Fungi, Basidiomycota, Agaricomycetes, Agaricales, Mycenaceae.